AUUGAACGCUGGCGGCAUGCCUUACACAUGCAAGUCGAACGGUAACAGGUCUUCGGAUGCUGACGAGUGGCGAACGGGUGAGUAAUACAUCGGAACGUGCCUAGUAGUGGGGGAUAACUACUCGAAAGAGUGGCUAAUACCGCAUGAGAUCUACGGAUGAAAGCAGGGGAUCGCAAGACCUUGUGAUACUAUAGCGGCCGAUGGCAGAUUAGGUAGUUGGUGGGAUAAAAGCUUACCAAGCCGACGAUCUGUAGCUGGUCUGAGAGGACGAUCAGCCACACUGGGACUGAGACACGGCCCAGACUCCUACGGGAGGCAGCAGUGGGGAAUUUUGGACAAUGGGCGAAAGCCUGAUCCAGCAAUGCCGCGUGCAGGAUGAAGGCCUUCGGGUUGUAAACUGCUUUUGUACGGAACGAAAAGCCCCGGGUUAAUACCCUGGGGUCAUGACGGUACCGUAAGAAUAAGCACCGGCUAACUACGUGCCAGCAGCCGCAGUAA
This 498-nucleotide ribosomal RNA is filed under the name uncultured bacterium. Its description in RNAcentral is "partial 16S ribosomal RNA". It matches the Rfam family "Bacterial small subunit ribosomal RNA", at positions 30 to 523 of the family's 1533-position model. The record is from RNAcentral.